AGCGAACGCUGGCGGCAGGCCUAACACAUGCAAGUCGAACGAACCUUUCGGGGUUAGUGGCGGACGGGUGAGUAACACGUGGGAACGUGCCUUUAGGUUCGGAAUAACUCAGUGAAACUUGUGCUAAUACCGAAUGUGCCCUUCGGGGGAAAGAUUAAUCGCCUUUAGAGCGGCCCGCGUCUGAUUAGCUAGUUGGUUGAGGUAAUGGCUCACCAAGGCGACGAUCAGUAGCUGGUCUGAGAGGAUGAUCAGCCACAUUGGGACUGAGACACGGCCCAAAAUCCUACGGGAGGCAGCAGUGGGGAAUCUUGCGCAAUGGGCGAAAGCAUGAAGCAGCCAUGACGGGUGAAUGAUGAAGGUCUUAGGAUUGUAAAAUUCUUUAACCGGGGACGAUAAUGACGGUACCCGGAGAAGAAGCCCCGGCUAACUUCGUG
This 434-nucleotide ribosomal RNA is filed under the name uncultured bacterium. Its description in RNAcentral is "partial 16S ribosomal RNA". It matches the Rfam family "Bacterial small subunit ribosomal RNA", at positions 29 to 507 of the family's 1533-position model. The record is from RNAcentral.